AUGGGGAAGGCCGGGGGCGAGGGAGGAGAGGCAGGGCCGCCGAUGUCAGUGCCACCAGCCGCACCUUGGCGUCCCCGGCGGCGGAGAGGCGGCCGCCGCUGCUGCUGCCGCUGCCGCUGCCGCUGCCGCUGGUGCUGCCGCUGCCGCUGCUGCUGCUGUUGCCGCUGCUUCUCCACACCGAGCGCCGCCGCUGGUGCCGCGGCUGCCGGAGACGUCCCGCCGCCGCGAUCGCCCGCGCUCGCCUCUGCCUCCCCGCGCCGCUCCUACACUCACACAGGCACAGUCGCGGAGCUCGGCAGACACAGUCCCGGGCACAGCCUACCCCCUCCGCCGCUGCCGCCGCCGCCGCCGCCGACACCGCGCCCGCCUCCGCCUCCUCCCCUUCCUCCUCCCGGCCCCCGCCUCUUGCGCGCCGGCAGCCUCCUCCUCCCCACUGAGCCCGCCCCCGACCUCCCGCCCCGACGUCGGAGUCCCGCACGUUCAUUGGCUAGAGUGCACAUCACUCAGUGCCAGGUGGCGGCCUCUCCGCUCGUCCCUCCUCCCGCUCCUCCUCGUUGUCCCCGCCCCUUGCUCUGUUUUCUCCCAGCUGCCGGACCAGCGGGCCUGCAGCCUCCACCGCCCAGUCCCUGCUCAGGUGUCACUUUUGCUGGCAGGCCGAGAUUAGGGAAAGAGAGUGGGCAAGGGGUCGCGGCCGGGAGGGGAAAGGCUCUACCACGCCACCCUCCUUUGGCCUCUGAACGCGGACCCCGCACACGCACACCCGCGCCUCUUUGGCAAGCGUGCCUUGUCGGCUGGGUUAAGCCGCAGUGCGUGCACACCGAGCGACGGGGCGCUGUGGAACGCCGGAGCGGGCUAGCGGAGGAGCAUGCGGAUCAAGCCCCAGCGACCCAGGGCAACUAGGAGUUACCUGGGACAGCCCUGCGGAUCUCCAAGAACCGAGGAGACGGGAGAAACACGGGAAAGGGUGGCCUUUUCCCUGUUCACACACACACACACACACGCAGCCAGUGGCCGGGACAGUUGACACCCAUCUUCCUUCCCUGCUCCUUCGAGUCAUUCUACACCCGCUUGGUGCUGCCAGUGCGGGCAGGGCCUUGGAGUCCAAAGCGGAUCCCCACACUUGUCCCUCCGGUUGAAAAGAAACUAGAGAAGAGAAAGUCAGGCUUGGCAGAGCUAAGAGUGAUAGUGGCCCAAAUGUUCCUUCCUGGCCCGCCUGCUGUGCCACAGAGUCUGAAAAGCGGGUCUCCCUCUACCAGAAGGUCACCUCCACACAGCCCCUCUGCGCGACCAACCGCAGCACCCAAGGACUGGCAACGUGGUUGGAGGUUUUGGGGGGAAUUAUGAAGAAAUCUGAAUAAAUUUCUCACCCUUCGUCUUUCCUGUUUUAUUUCCAAAGUCCUUCAGUAUCAGGUUUUUCCUAUUUCCUCAAUUGACCACGGGUCCAAUAAAAGAUUUGAUACCACACACACACAUGAAAACGAAAAAAGUUUAGGGAGCUGGGAGAUGAAGCCAGAAGUGUUUUGGAGACAAGGAUUAGAUUAAAGCUCAAACUUGAAAAUUUUGAGUAAGAGACUGAUUCUACUGCAGCAUGGCUUUGAUGUGGACUGCACUGUAUAGAAACACACACUAGAUACCUCUGUGGAGGCCUAGCAAAAAGAGCAGACGCAGGGUGUAUCCCACCAGGAUAGGGAGCCUGCCACUGGCACUGAGAUUCUCUGCCCAAUUUCCAACCCCAGGAUACUGGGUGGCAAUUAGACAAUUCAUUCAAUAAAUAUAUUUUCUGUACUCCUUUUAUUUAUAUGCCAGACACUGUGGUGGGUAAUUAGGUGGGGAGGGAGUGUAUUCGAAAAUUGUUCUUGCCCUCAAUAAAGCCUAGAAUUUUCAGAGAACAUAAAAUUAUGAGCUCUGAGAGGUCACUGUAAUCUCCUCAGGAAGAGGUUGUUUAAAACAGCCUCCUGAGCACAGGCAGAGCUAGUUGCUAAGGCAGAUUUGGGAAGCUGGUCCCUGGCCAGAUGGCACACAGUGAGGGAGCGAUGCCAAGACCUGUGGGUGAAGAGGGCCUGCUUCAGAAAGACCAGGAAACCAUGUCCAGGGAUGCUCAUUUCCAAGGCCAAGACAUUCUCUCCUACAUAUUAGAAAAAAAUGAAGUUCCCACCGUUAUUUGGACUAAGUUUUUACUGAGUAUAGGAUAAACAUCUUUGAACCAAGAUCAGAAGGCUUAAAAUGUCAGCACCAUAUAAAACUACACGAUACAGAUAGGAAAUAAAGGCACACCUUUCAGGCACACCCUUUAGUCCGCUACAAGUCUAGGACACCUCCUAGCUAAGGUAUGUAUGGGGAAAAAAAAGUUAUGACUCAUAAUCACUUCCCAACACAUUAUCAACAGGAACUUUUAAUGCCUGUGUAUGAUUCCAUAACUGCUGCAACACUGACACCUCUUAAACAAAAUUGGAUCCUGCUCUAAGGGAAACAGGACAGCCAGCAUAUUAACUAGCAACAACUUGUGUUCAUACACUUGGCCUCCUGAAGUAGACAGCCAGAUCAUCUUUUUAAUUCAGAUAGUGUUUCAGAUGUCCUACCCUCUCCUACUGCCAUUCUUUUUCUGUCCUGUCGAGAGGUCCCCAACCUUUCUGGCAACAGGGACUGGUUUCGUGGAAGACAAUUUUUCCAUGGAUGGUAGUGGGGGGUGGUUUCAGGAUAAAACUGUUCCACCUCAGAUAAUCAGGCAUUAAAUUCUCAUAAGCAGCGUGCAGCCUAGAUCCCUUGCAUGCACGGUUCACAGUAAGGUUUGCACUCCUAUGAGAAUCUAAUGCCACUGCUGAUCUGACAGGAGGUAGAGCUCAGGAAGUAAUGUUUGCUCACUCUGCUGCAGAUCUCCUGCUGUACAGUCCAGUUCCUAAUAGGCCACAGACUGGUACUGUUCUGUGGCCUAGGAGUUGGGAACCCCCAUAUUAGACUGCCCUAGCAGUCCAUAAUUAUAUUACCGCUUGCAUGAGAAUACCUUAUAUUUGGAAUUUACAUUUUGAAGAGAUUACUUCAGUUCCCAGAUGCUGACUUUGACAAUGUCCUGCUUAUCAAGAAAUCGUAGCGGGCAAAAACUUGAAAAAAGACAACUUUUUGUCUACCAAAAAAAUGUGUUUUCCCUUCCUUAGUAUAAUUCACUCUGGGAAGUGUCUGCCCAGUGAGGGAUCCCAUUUCUAGCCUGACCAAGUAGGUCCAUGUGACUAGUUCUGAUCAACAGACUGUGGGCUGAGGUGGUUGGUCCCUCUCAGGCCAAGGCAGUUAAGCAGCGGUUAUACAUUUUCUAGUCUAUGGACUCCCAUCCUUAGCUGAAUUCAGAGACUUCUAAGACCCAGGGCAGGCAGAACCCCAGAGACAAAGAGGAGAAUCCCUUAAUUACAACACAGAGGAAUGCUGCCCACUUACUAAGAAAAUAUGCAUUAGGCUUUACCCAUUUAUUUUGUUACUCCAAUAAAAUGUGGAGAUAUGUUUGUUAGAAUAGCUAAUAUUACCAAAUUAAUUUGCAAAAGUAAUAUAUUAGUUCAAAAAGUACAAUCCUUAGCAAAACCUAGAAUUACUGUUUUACUGUAAUACAAGAGAACUACCAGAAGACUAAAAAUACUCUUACUUCUUUUAAUACAUGAGCAUCAAAUCUUAAUUAUCUGUAAAUGAAUAUUCUUUGACCACUUGUGUUUUGAACACCUAUUCU
Molecule: long non-coding RNA, 3709 nt
Filed under: Papio anubis (olive baboon)
Lineage: Eukaryota; Metazoa; Chordata; Mammalia; Primates; Cercopithecidae
Description: lncRNA (ENSPANG00000043921.1)
Source: RNAcentral